Molecule: ribosomal RNA, 369 nt
Filed under: uncultured bacterium
Lineage: Bacteria
Description: partial 16S ribosomal RNA
Rfam family: Bacterial small subunit ribosomal RNA
Source: RNAcentral
CCUACGGGUGGCAGCAGUGAGGAAUAUUGGUCAAUGGACGCAAGUCUGAACCAGCCAUGCCGCGUGCAGGAAGACGGCUCUAUGAGUUGUAAACUGCUUUUGUACGAGGGUAAACGCAGAUACGCGUAUCUGUCUGAAAGUAGCGUACGAAUAAGGAUCGGCUAACUCCGUGCCAGCAGCCGCGGUAAGACGGAGGAUUCAAGCGUUCUCCGGAUUUAUUGGGUUUAAAGGGUGCGUAGGCGGUCGGAUACGUUAGAGGUGAAAUCCCGAGGCUCAACUUCGGAAUUGCCUCUGAUACUGUUCGGCUAGAGCGUCGUUGCGGUAGGCGGCAUGUCUGGUGUCGCGGUGUAAUGCUUCGAGCUCCUACAG